AUUGAACGCUGGCGGCAGGCUUAACACAUGCAAGUCGAGCGGGGUGAUGGUGCUUGCACUAUCACUUAGCGGCGGACGGGUGAGUAAUGCUUAGGAAUCUGCCUAUUAGUGGGGGACAACAUCUCGAAAGGGAUGCUAAUACCGCAUACGUCCUACGGGAGAAAGCAGGGGAUCACUUGUGACCUUGCGCUAGUAGCUGAGCCUAAGUCGGAUUAGCUAGUUGGUGGGGUAAAGGCCUACCAAGGCGACGAUCUGUAGCGGGUCUGAGAGGAUGAUCCGCCACACUGGGACUGAGACACGGCCCAGACUCCUACGGGAGGCAGCAGUGGGGAAUAUUGGACAAUGGGGGGAACCCUGAUCCAGCCAUGCCGCGUGUGUGAAGAAGGCCUUAUGGUUGUAAAGCACUUUAAGCGAGGAGGAGGCUCUUUUGGUUAAUACCCAAGAUGAGUGGACGUUACUCGCAGAAUAAGCACCGGCUAACUCUGUGCCAGCCGCCGCAGUAA
Molecule: ribosomal RNA, 503 nt
Filed under: uncultured bacterium
Lineage: Bacteria
Description: partial 16S ribosomal RNA
Rfam family: Bacterial small subunit ribosomal RNA
Source: RNAcentral